Molecule: ribosomal RNA, 157 nt
Filed under: uncultured bacterium
Lineage: Bacteria
Description: partial 16S ribosomal RNA
Rfam family: Bacterial small subunit ribosomal RNA
Source: RNAcentral
UCGGGAAUUUUGGGCAAUGGGCGAAAGCCUGACCCAGCAACGCCGCGUGAAGGAUGAAAUCCUUCGGGAUGUAAACUUCGCAAGAACGGGAAGAAUAAGUGAGGGUUAAUAUCUCUCGCGAUGACGGUACCGUUUGUAAGCUCCGGCUAACUCCGUG